AGAGUUUGAUCAUGGCUCAGGACGAACGCUGACGGUGUGCUUUAGGCAUGCAAGUCGAACGAGAAAGCCCUUCGGGGUGAGUAAAGUGGCGAACGGGUGAGUAACGCGUGGGAACCUACCCUUUGGUUCGGAAUAACUCAGGGAAACUUGAGCUAAUACCGGAUACGCCCUUUGGGGGAAAGAUUUAUCGCCAUGGGAUGGGCCCGCGUCUGAUUAGCUAGUUGGUGUGGUAAGAGCGCACCAAGGCAACGAUCAGUAGCUGGUCUGAGAGGACGACCAGCCACACUGGGACUGAGACACGGCCCAGACUCCUACGGGAGGCAGCAGUGAGGAAUUUUCCGCAAUGGGCGAAAGCCUGACGGAGCAAUACCGCGUGAGGGAGGAAGGUUCUUGGAUUGUAAACCUCUUUUCUCAGAGAAGAAUAAUGACGGUAUCUGAGGAAUAAGCAUCGGCUAACUCCGUGCCAGCAGCCGCGGUAAUACGGAGGAUGCAAGCGUUAUCCGGAAUGAUUGGGCGUAAAGGGUCUGUAGGUGGUUGUUCAAGUCUGCUGUUAAAGCGUCUGGCUUAACCAGAUAAAGGCGGUGGAAACUGAACGACUAGAGUGCGGUAGGGGUAGAGGGAAUUCCCAGUGUAGCGGUGAAAUGCGUAGAUAUUGGGAAGAACACCUGUGGCGAAAGCGCUCUACUGGACCGCGACUGACACUGAUGGACGAAAGCUAGGGGAGCGAAUGGGAUUAGAUACCCCCGUAGUCC
This 752-nucleotide ribosomal RNA is filed under the name uncultured cyanobacterium. Its description in RNAcentral is "bacterial SSU rRNA". It matches the Rfam family "Bacterial small subunit ribosomal RNA", at positions 8 to 796 of the family's 1533-position model. Lineage: Bacteria; Bacillati; Cyanobacteriota. The record is from RNAcentral.